Molecule: long non-coding RNA, 454 nt
Organism: Solea solea (common sole)
Lineage: Eukaryota; Metazoa; Chordata; Actinopteri; Pleuronectiformes; Soleidae
Exons: 3
Source: RefSeq, a predicted model, not a curated record
AACAAUAUGAACAGCACUCCUCGUGGGCAGUGGUGGACCUACUACCUGGUCCACCAAGGCACCCCUCUGGUUCUUAAGGAGGUGUCCGCGGGCGUGGAGGGUGCUGGGACAGCUGCGCACAUUCAUCGGACAACAACGUGUUUGGCAACUCCUGCUUUUCUGUGCUGACGCCCGGAGCUCUGAUCACUGAGCACUACGGUCCAACAAACGUCAGGCUGCGCUGCCACCUGGGAACCUUUCAGGACGUUGACGACGAAGCUGAGGAGGACUCCGCCUGCGGGGGGUGGAGGGAUGUACAUCUGGUACUCUCCUACAGGAACAGCCCACGCAUCCGUCACCGUGACGUUGUACGCCGCCAAAUCCUGCAGUUGCUCGGGUCUGGUUUGUGUAUCGGAUGUUUCGACCUUGGAUGUCAGGAAUAGGGAACCCCUCUCUGGCCAGUUGGAUGGUCGGC